RNAcentral lists this ribosomal RNA (460 nucleotides) under uncultured bacterium. Its description in RNAcentral is "partial 16S ribosomal RNA". It matches the Rfam family "Bacterial small subunit ribosomal RNA", at positions 338 to 795 of the family's 1533-position model. The record is from RNAcentral.
CCUACGGGAGGCAGCAGUGAGGAAUAUUGGUCAAUGGACGAGAGUCUGAACCAGCCAAGUAGCGUGAAGGAUGACUGCCCUAUGGGUUGUAAACUUCUUUUAUAUGGGAAUAAAACGUUCCACGUGUGGGAUUUUGUAUGUACCAUAUGACUAAGGAUCGGCUAACUCCGUGCCAGCAGCCGCGGGAAUACGGAGGAUCCGAGCGUUAUCCGGAUUUAUUGGGUUUAAAGGGAGCGUAGGUGGAUUGUUAAGUCAGUUGUGAAAGUUUGCGGCUCAACCGUACAAUUGCAGUUGAAACUGGCAGUCUUGAGUACAGGAGAGGUGGGCGGAAUUCGAGGUGUAGCGGUGAAAUGCUUAGAUAUCACGAAGAACUCCGAUUGCGAAGGCAGUUCACUGGACUGCAACUGACACUGAGGCUCGAAAGUGUGGGUAUCAAACAGGAUUAGAUACCCCAGUAGUC